CGUCGAAUAACUGCAGAUUCUUCACCCGAUUCUGAAGUCAUAGUGGCUAUUCUUAUGGGGUUUGGUUUACACUGCAGGCUUUGGGGAUUCUUAGUUUGUGUGUAGCUGAUGAUUGGUGUUCUAGUUUCUGUACUUUUUCAAUUGUGGUCCCAGGGCUGUUUCUGUUGUUAAUUCUUCCUCGGAAAGACUAGGAGGAGCAAAAGUUGUCGCUACUGCUGUGGCUCCAAAUGAUGUGGCAAAAAUUCAGGAGUUUCUAAAAAGAUGGAGUGAUGUUGAACAUGUGGAUCUUAUACUUACCCUUGGUGGGACCGGCUUUACCUCACGAGAUGUAACACCAGAAGCUACAAAAUAGUUGAUUGAGAAGGAAACACCUGAUCUUUUGUAUGUAAUGACACAAGAAAGUUUAAAGGUAUGAAACUCUUGCAUUUUUUGGUUUUUCAGUUUGAUUAAAUGAUUAAAUUUUAUGCAUGCUUAAAUAUGUAGACAUCAUGUGCAUUCUUGGUCUACUUCACUGGUGGGUUGAAGCCAACAUUUGUCAAUUUCUC
This is a long non-coding RNA of Arachis duranensis, 545 nucleotides long. RefSeq lists it as uncharacterized. The transcript is spliced from 3 exons. Lineage: Eukaryota; Viridiplantae; Streptophyta; Magnoliopsida; Fabales; Fabaceae. The record is from RefSeq and is a predicted model, not a curated record.